This 497-nucleotide ribosomal RNA is filed under the name uncultured bacterium. RNAcentral describes it as "partial 16S ribosomal RNA". It matches the Rfam family "Bacterial small subunit ribosomal RNA", at positions 28 to 507 of the family's 1533-position model. The record is from RNAcentral.
GAUGAACGCUGGCGGCGUGCCUAAUACAUGCAAGUCGAGCGAACAGACGAGGAGCUUGCUCCUCUGACGUUAGCGGCGGACGGGUGAGUAACACGUGGAUAACCUACCUAUAAGACUGGGAUAACUUCGGGAAACCGGAUCUAAUACCGGAUAAUAUAUUGAACCGCAUGGUUCAAUAGUGAAAGACGGUUUUGCUGUCACUUAUAGAUGGAUCCGCGCCGCAUUAGCUAGUUGGUAAGGUAACGGCUUACCAAGGCAACGAUGCGUAGCCGACCUGAGAGGGUGAUCGGCCACACUGGAACUGAGACACGGUCCAGACUCCUACGGGAGGCAGCAGUAGGGAAUCUUCCGCAAUGGGCGAAAGCCUGACGGAGUAACGCCGCGUGAGUGAUGAAGGUCUUCGGAUCGUAAAAAUCUGUUAUUAGGGAAGAACAAAUGUGUAAGUAACUAUGCACGUCUUGACGGUAACUAAUCAGAAAGCAACGGCUAACUACGUG